RNAcentral lists this long non-coding RNA (1043 nucleotides) under Cyanistes caeruleus (blue tit). RNAcentral's name for it is "lncRNA (ENSCCEG00000023221.1)". Lineage: Eukaryota; Metazoa; Chordata; Aves; Passeriformes; Paridae. The record is from RNAcentral.
UAUUUUCUUAAUUUUAAUGAAUGUUGUCCUAUUAUAGGAUUAACUGUGAAGAAGCUGAAGAAGCCAAAAGAAUUUUCAAUUAAAGGAAUUGCAGAGACAUGUGACAGCACUGCAGGAACAUCCACCGGGACUGCUCCCAGCCUUUGGAACACCGGCUCCAAAGCAGCUCUGAGCAGAGUCCUGCAAAGCUGCUCCUGGGCACCACUCCUGGGCACUGCUUCUGGGCAUUGCUUCUGGGCAUCGCUCCUGGGCACCAUUCCUGGGCACCACUCCUGGGCAUCGCUCCUGGGCACCAUUCCUGGGCACCGCUCCUGGGCAUUGCUCCUGGGCAUCACUCCUGGGCACCGCUCCUGGGCACCACUCCUGGGCACCGCUCCUGGGCACCACUCCUGGGCACUGCUCCUGGGCCUGGCUGUGCUGUGUGCUCGCUGUUACUGUCAGGAUGCUGAGGAUGAUGAGGAUGUUGCUGCUGCUGCUGAUGCUGAUGAUGAGGAUGAUGAUGAUGAUGAUGAUGAGGAUGAUGAGAUGAUGGUGAUGAUGGUGAUGAUGAUGCUGAUGAUGAGGAUGAUGAUGAUGAGGAUGAUGAUGUUGAUGAGGAUGAUGAUGAUGAGAUGAUGAUGAUGAUGAUGAUGAUUCAGAGCCGUGCAGAGGGGAUGUCUUUGUGCAGAACACAAAUCAGCAGCAGGCAGUAUUGAAUGCAGCCCGGUGUGUCCCUGAGCGAGUGGGGCUGAGCAAGGGACCUGCAGGAGAUGCAGGGAGAAGCUGAGGAGCCCUCAGGGAUGUCACUGAGCUGUGGCAGAGCACGGGGACACUGCAGAGGCUUUGCCCAGAGCCCUGGGGACAGGGGCCAAGCCACCGGUGCCAGGCUCAUCCUCACGGGUCCUGUCAGUGCAGCCACGCACAUCCUGUGUUCGAGGGGAGAAAUAUCCUGCAAUGUUCCACACACCUGAGAGCACACCUGGGACAUGCCAGGGGAGCAGCAGGCUCAGCACUCAGGCCAGAACAGAUUCUAAAUAAAAUGCAGCUUUUACACCUUGAGCUCA